RNAcentral lists this small nuclear RNA (101 nucleotides) under Castor canadensis (American beaver). The record is from RNAcentral. Lineage: Eukaryota; Metazoa; Chordata; Mammalia; Rodentia; Castoridae.
GUGUAUUUGGCAUCACAUAUACUAAAACUGGAACAAUGCAGAGAUUACCAUGGUCUCUGCCCAAGGAUAACACUCAAAUUUGUAAAGCAUUCCAUAUUAUA